This 110-nucleotide ribosomal RNA is filed under the name Actinomycetota bacterium. The record is from RNAcentral. Lineage: Bacteria; Bacillati; Actinomycetota.
GGCGGUCAUAGCGAAGGGGAAACGCCCGGUCCCAUUCCGAACCCGGAAGCUAAGCCCUUCAGCGCCGAUGGUACUGCAGCCGCCAGGCUGUGGGAGAGUAGGUCGCCGCC